Molecule: ribosomal RNA, 446 nt
Filed under: uncultured Campylobacterota bacterium
Lineage: Bacteria; Pseudomonadati; Campylobacterota
Description: bacterial SSU rRNA
Rfam family: Bacterial small subunit ribosomal RNA
Source: RNAcentral
GCAAGAUUAAAACUCAAAGGAAUAGACGGGGACCCACACAAGCAGUGGAUCACGUGGUUUAAUUCGACAAUAAACGGGGAACCUCACCCAGACUUGACAUCCUGAGAAUCUUUGAGAGAUCAGAGAGUGCCUUUACGGGAACUCAGUGACAGGUGCUGCAUGGUUGUCGUCAGCUCGUGCCUUGAGGUGUUCGGUUAGGUCCGUUAACGAGCGCAACCCAUGUCCUUAGUUACUAUGUCUAAGGAGACUGCCUUGGUUAACAAGGAGGAAGGUGUGGAUGACGUCAAAUCAGCAUGGCUUUUACGUCUGGGGCUACACACAUGAUACAAUGGUAUGUACAAAGAGCAGCAAUAUCGCGAGAUGGAGCCAAUCUUCAAAGCAUAUCUCAGUCCGGAUUGGAGUCUGAAACUCGACUCCAUGAAGUUGGAAUUGCUAGUAAUCGUGAA